Molecule: ribosomal RNA, 650 nt
Filed under: Salmonella enterica subsp. enterica serovar Anatum
Lineage: Bacteria; Pseudomonadati; Pseudomonadota; Gammaproteobacteria; Enterobacterales; Enterobacteriaceae
Also listed under: 1 other name
Description: bacterial SSU rRNA
Rfam family: Bacterial small subunit ribosomal RNA
Source: RNAcentral
CGCCUGGGGAGUACGGCCGCAAGGUUAAAACUCAAAUGAAUUGACGGGGGCCCGCACAAGCGGUGGAGCAUGUGGUUUAAUUCGAUGCAACGCGAAGAACCUUACCUGGUCUUGACAUCCACGGAAGUUUUCAGAGAUGAGAAUGUGCCUUCGGGAACCGUGAGACAGGUGCUGCAUGGCUGUCGUCAGCUCGUGUUGUGAAAUGUUGGGUUAAGUCCCGCAACGAGCGCAACCCUUAUCCUUUGUUGCCAGCGAUUAGGUCGGGAACUCAAAGGAGACUGCCAGUGAUAAACUGGAGGAAGGUGGGGAUGACGUCAAGUCAUCAUGGCCCUUACGACCAGGGCUACACACGUGCUACAAUGGCGCAUACAAAGAGAAGCGACCUCGCGAGAGCAAGCGGACCUCAUAAAGUGCGUCGUAGUCCGGAUUGGAGUCUGCAACUCGACUCCAUGAAGUCGGAAUCGCUAGUAAUCGUGGAUCAGAAUGCCACGGUGAAUACGUUCCCGGGCCUUGUACACACCGCCCGUCACACCAUGGGAGUGGGUUGCAAAAGAAGUAGGUAGCUUAACCUUCGGGAGGGCGCUUACCACUUUGUGAUUCAUGACUGGGGUGAAGUCGUAACAAGGUAACCGUAGGGGAACCUGCGGUUG